Molecule: non-coding RNA, 3039 nt
Organism: Chiloscyllium plagiosum (whitespotted bambooshark)
Lineage: Eukaryota; Metazoa; Chordata; Chondrichthyes; Orectolobiformes; Hemiscylliidae
Source: RefSeq, a predicted model, not a curated record
UCCAGUCAUUUGGUUUGCCUCCAGCAUCACCUUUUUUAUUUUACAUUUUUUGUAAUUAUCUCUCUGCCUUAUUUAAUCAGAUUAUACAUCAUCCCUUGUUAUUCAGCUGUUAACACUUUACUCACACCAUCUAAUACUUCUGGUCACUUGCAGAAACAUACUGAUCAACACUCCACUCACACAAUUUGUAUAAUCUUUUGAUCUCUUUGCUCUUGAUCUCUCUGCCCAUAAAUUUUGUUAUGCGUGCUUCCCUCUCACUUCACCUGAUGAGAGGGCUACACUCUGAAAGCUUGUGAUUUCAGAUAAACCUGUUGGACUAUAACCUGGUGUUGUUUGAUUUCUGACUUUUUGUAAAAGAACAAAGCAUGAAUGGUUUGGGAAAGAAAUUAGAGCUUGUGGCCCAUACAUUUUGACUGCAUAGCUACCAACGCUGGAGCAUUUAAAAUCAGGAAUUCUCCAGAGACCAGAAUUAGAAUACAAAUUUUGCAUAUAUUUUGAAAGACUGAAUUAUGCUAUUGAAACAUCAUUAUCUGUUCUUCAGGCAGCACCACAAGAAACAGAAAAUUGAUCAUAUUCAUUUUUUGUAGAUAUUGCAGCUGUGCUUACCUACAUGGCAGCAAUGCUUUUAUAAGUAAUUUAAUACUGAAAAGUAAUACACUUUAUGGCAGUCUUUCAUCUUAUACUUGUCAGGACAGGCCUCAAGAAUACCGGUUUAAGGGAAAAGCCAACAGUUUAAAACUGAGCCCACUGGUUAACUAAGCAAGUGGACUUUGGUAGAGAUUUUGCCUUGGCACUAAUCAUUGAUGUCUGGCAGUUAACGGCCAGGCUUUGUUUAAAGUUUAAACCCAGAUAAGUCGAUUCAUCAAAUCAUUUCUUAUGAACGAACCAAUGAAUGGCUGUCACUGAUUUUUGUUGAGUGGAAAUGCACAGCCAUCUUCUUUUUUACAUGCAAGUAUGCCACAUUGCAGUCCUCAUUGACAAUGCUAAAUUGGUUUUCAGUACUGUAUAGUGUUUUGCAUACUCAGGAUUGUUAAGGGCAUGUACACACAUUGCUCCUGUUUCAGCUCCACAAAAUAGAUAGUUCAUUUUCUCAGGGCAAUGACAAUAAAUUACCUGAUUUGAAAUUUUAAACAAAACCUUGCUCUUGACUAUCAAUCAUUAACUGGUGAUAAUGAUUAACUUAAUUAACUUUGCCAUGUAAAGUCCAGUCUCAAUUAACUUUCCAGCUAUCAUGAUUCCCUAGGUAGUGUACUGGAAAUCAAGUUCAACUCUUCCCAAAAACAUCACAAAAGUCUUUUUAAAAAUAUACAAAUUUCCCCAAACGUCCUCCUGAUUUUUCAGUGUCGGGUUGAUAGAAAGCAUUGAACAUAUUCUGUACUUGAGAAAUUGCUUUUUACCUGCAGCUAGAAUCUAAUGAAUUGUAGUAAACUAAGUUAAGUAAACUCUACAAAUUAAGACUCCCAAACCCUGACAAAGACACACUGGCAGGCAAACCUAAACAGGAAAAAAAACACAUUGGCUGAGGGAAAACUAGAAAAUCAGACCCGUAGUGUCUGUAGAAACAAGAUCUGUUGUGUUGGUUCUUGAUGAUCUGUAGAGUUCCCCUUGACUUUCUUUGAUUACACUGGUUUGCAAAAGGCUCAGAGGGGCUCUUUGAUUCAUGAUGAGUCUAUGCCCUAUUCAGUUCAAAGGCACAAUUUGCAGCAUCUAUUGAAGGAAAGAUGAGUUCAUUUUCUUCAGAUUCAAACUGACUUACUGCAAAAACUGGGAGCUAGAUUUUUUCAGAGUUGCCUCCUCUCCUGUUCACAGCCCAGCCUGUUUAGCAACCUGACAACUAAUCACGCAGUUGUUGAUAGGCAGAGGAUCUUUGUCGUUGGUUUGCUUCAUUCGUAUGGACUUGAAUGUCAUCUAGCCUUGCCAGUCCUUUGGUUUAUCUUAAAUGUGUGCCUCCAAUAUUGUUUCUUUUCAGGCCCUCUAAAUUGCUCAUUUCCAGUUGGGAUCAACAUGGUUCACAUAUUAGUAAACAUAUCUCUUCUGUUACUGUCAUGCUAUCUCUGAGUUUCUGCUAUUAUAUUAUGCAAACUUCUAAUAACUCUGAAAUACUAAGUUUUUGAAAGUUCUGGUCUAAUGCCAUUUUUAAGCAAAAUUUUAAACUCUUUAUAUUGAGUGAAGUUUUUUUUUGGAACAAUUGCAAGCACAUUUUGAGAAGUUUUUCUGUGUGAUGUAGAUUCUAUAAAUGAUCUCAAUCUUGGAGAGAUUACCAACCAGCUUGGGGGUGAAGAUUGUCUCAUGACAGUCAUUCCAAAUGAUGGGAAUGCUUGCACAUCAUGCAACGUUUCCUGUUCUCCUGCAACAGGCAGAAGAUCUAAUUGCAGUGACUCUGGUAAGUACUGUGGUGACUGUAAAAAGGAUCAAUGAAUUUCUUGAAUCACCAGAUCUAUGCAGAGUUAGCUGACCUCCCUGUGAUGUUGCUGAGGAAUCACAGAUGAAGGGCUUUUGCCCGAAAUGUCGAUUUUACUGCUCCUCGGAUGGUGCCUGAACUGCUGUGCUCUUCCAGCACCACUAAUCCAGAAUCUGGUUUCCAGCAUCUGCAGUCAUUGUUUUUACCUAAUUGCCUUAUGUCUCACACUUGAUUCAGUUUGUGCAUAGAGCAUUGGAUUGAUGUUCAAGGCCGUUCUUUCUUUCCCAUACCCCACCUCCUAACCAGAACCCGUACCAACUUUGCAUAUAGUUGUAAUGACCUGCAAACUGUAGCAGUCCAGGCUUUUGCAUCUAUAUUUGAAGGAGCAGACUGAGUGCCACUGGAACCAUAUUGCAACAGGGAGUAAUGGCAAAUGUCAACAGCAUUCUCAGAGAAUUUUAACAAAAAUGUGUGUCGAAUGAUAAAUUAGAAAGAAAGUAUGGUAGCACUAGAGAUCCCCAGUAUCACUAAUGUCAAUUUCAUUUCACUCCACGUGAUAUCGAGAAACGGUUGGAAGCACUGGAUCCUGCAAGAACUAUAGGCCCUGACAACAUUCUAGCAAUAUUUGUGAGUGGUGG